UUGGUCUUAGUACUUAGAUUACAAGUGAACAAAUCGGGGUUUCUCGUUGUUAUUUUCAAAAUAUAAAGUGUUAUUUUGUGUUUUAAGCAUCAUUUUCUUGAGAAAUUAUACAACAUCGAAUAAGUUUCAUCAAAAUAACGCUGUCUUGAAUGACUUUCAUACGAAAAAAGGUGUAAUCUGAACGCCGCGCGUGUCGUACUAUUGCCAAGUGCGCUCUUGUUCUUCUCUGAUCGAUAAUUAGAGCAUAAUUGAAGCGUUGAGAAAAUGAGUUCUAAAUCCGACAUAACUCUGAAAAUUCCCAGUAUCUCAGUGCAUUAAAAAAUUAACACCGAUUUUAAAACAGACUGGAAAUGGGUCAUUAAACCAGAAACGGGAAUCAACGGCUGCCCCACAAAACACUUGCCGGAGAGAGAAAGCAUCGCUGAGCAAACUAAUUGCAAAAACCAUAUGCAAAUACUCACCAGACCCUUUUUCCAAAUCCUAAGUACCACCCCAUCGCACCCCAUACACAGCAGCACCCCUUUCAGUCGACCACAUCCGUUCCAGAAACACAGGCGGGAGAAUCUGCUCUCCGUGUCGAGUGGCAAAAUAUUAAACACAACUCCUCUUGUUGCGCUAGCUGCUGGCGCAAGGGGAUUGCUUCUUCCCUUACGGCCAAACCAACCUCGACACCCACCGCGUAACUAAUCUGAAUUUUAUUAAAAAAGUAAAUAAGCAAAUAAAGGUGGAA
Anopheles arabiensis is the source of this 730-nucleotide long non-coding RNA. RefSeq lists it as uncharacterized. The record is from RefSeq and is a predicted model, not a curated record. The transcript has 3 exons. Lineage: Eukaryota; Metazoa; Arthropoda; Insecta; Diptera; Culicidae.